ACGUUAUUCGGAAUCACUGGGCUUAAAGCGCGUGUAGGCGGGACGGCACGUCGGUUGCUGAAAUCCCCCGGCUCAACCGGGGAACGGGCAGCGAUACGACCGUCCUGGAGGGGGGUAGGGGGAGCUGGAACUUCCGGUGGAGCGGUGAAAUGCGUUGAGAUCGGAAGGAACGCCCGUGGCGAAAGCGAGCUCCUGGACCCUUACUGACGCUGAGACGCGAAAGCCA
Molecule: ribosomal RNA, 226 nt
Filed under: uncultured bacterium
Lineage: Bacteria
Description: partial 16S ribosomal RNA
Rfam family: Bacterial small subunit ribosomal RNA
Source: RNAcentral